GUGCAGCAGGCGCGAAAACUUCACACUGUGCGAAAGCACGAUGAGGGAAUCCCAAGUGCUUGCACGUAAGUGUAAGCUGUUUCUCUGUCUAAAACGCAGAGAGAGUAAGGGCUGGGUAAGACGGGUGCCAGCCGCCGCGGUAAUACCUGCAGCUCAAGUGGUGACCGUUAUUAUUGGGCCUAAGACGUCCGUAGCCGGUUUAAUAAAUGCCUGGGUAAAUUGUGUAGCUUAACUAUACGAAUUCCGGGUAGACUGUUAAACUUGAGACCGGGAGAAGUUAGAGGUACUCCUGGGGUAGAGGUGAAAUUCUGUAAUCCUAGGGGGACCACCAGUGGCGAAGGCGUCUAACUAGAACGGGUCUGACGGUGAGGGACGAAGCCCUGGGGCGCAAAACGGGGAUUAGAUACCCCUGUAGU
RNAcentral lists this ribosomal RNA (416 nucleotides) under uncultured microorganism. Its description in RNAcentral is "bacterial SSU rRNA". It matches the Rfam family "Archaeal small subunit ribosomal RNA", at positions 330 to 745 of the family's 1478-position model. The record is from RNAcentral.